AUAAACAAAGCGCCACUCUCACAGUUGAACGGUGACCGUUCACUUCGCCAACUUCCGCUCCUGGCUUCUGUCGCCUGCGUAGGGCCUAUGGUGACCGAAAUAUAUUUGACAAUAGCUCUGCGAAGGAGACUGUUAUUUAUUUAUCUUUUGUAUUUUAUUAUUUUUUUAUUUUUCUUUGCUGUAGCGCGUUCAAUCUGCUUGGAGAAGCAGUAGCAGCCCCGAAUGCAUGGAUGGUUUCUAAUACCAAUACAGCACUGUACGGAACAGCAGGAGAGGCAAGUGUAGAAUUUCUUUUGAAAAAUAUUUUUGAAAAUUUGAAUAUUCAUUCAUUUGAAUAUUCAUUUGAAAUUUCAAAUUUUUGAAAAUUUUUGAAAUUUUUUCCCUGCACCUUACUGACACGCAGAUGCAUCUAAAUUGCACUCACAGCUCCAUUUGUGUGUAUCCUUAUGAGUCCAUAAAAUGUGGUCAACCAAAGUCAUUAAAAAUUCAAGAGGUACUGAGUUUGAAAUGUAAGAUCAAAACCCCAACCAAAUACUUGAAAAAUUGGCUCAUUUCUUUGCAACGCUGUUAAAUCAAAUAUACUUUACUGAAGGACUUGAAUGUAACAAUAUCAUGUCAUCAGUAUUACAGACGGACACAAAGAAGCUGCCAGCACCAGGUAUGUAUAAGGUUGGAAUGACCUUAAAAAAAAAAGUCAUGGGGGGGGUACAUGUUUUUAAAGCACUUCCACCAAAAUGUUCUACGCGAGGACAGGGUUUCAUUUGUGACAACUAAUGGUACUUAUGUGCUUACAGUCAUAUACCACAAACAAAGCAUCCAGAUGACUUAAAAAAACGAAAGAAUAAAAAAAGUAUUCACCAAUUUAUUUUCAG
Molecule: long non-coding RNA, 872 nt
Organism: Cynoglossus semilaevis (tongue sole)
Lineage: Eukaryota; Metazoa; Chordata; Actinopteri; Pleuronectiformes; Cynoglossidae
Exons: 2
Source: RefSeq, a predicted model, not a curated record